RNAcentral lists this ribosomal RNA (373 nucleotides) under uncultured organism. RNAcentral describes it as "bacterial SSU rRNA". It matches the Rfam family "Bacterial small subunit ribosomal RNA", at positions 527 to 896 of the family's 1533-position model. The record is from RNAcentral.
CGGGGGAGCAAGCGUUGUUCGGAUUUACUGGGCGUAAAGGGCGCGUAGGCGGCCAGCACAAGUCAGUUGUGAAAUCUCCGGGCUUAACUCGGAGCGGUCAACUGAUACUGUGCGGCUAGAGUGCAGAAGGGGCAACUGGAAUUCUCGGUGUAGCGGUGAAAUGCGUAGAUAUCGAGAGGAACACCUGCGGCGAAGGCGGGUUGCUGGGCUGACACUGACGCUGAUGCGCGAAAGCCAGGGGAGCGAACGGGAUUAGAUACCCCGGUAGUCCUGGCCUUAAACGAUGGAUGCUUGGUGUCUGGAGUUUUAUAGUCUCCGGGUGCCGUAGCUAACGCGUUAAGCAUCCCGCCUGGGGAGUACGGUCGCAAGACUG